AGUGAACGCUGGCGGUAGGCCUAACACAUGCAAGUCGAACGGCAGCACAGUAAGAGCUUGCUCUUACGGGUGGCGAGUGGCGGACGGGUGAGGAAUACAUCGGAAUCUACUUUUUCGUUGGGGAUAACGUAGGGAAACUUACGCUAAUACCGCAUACGACCUACGGGUGAAAGCAGGGGAUCUUCGUACCUUGCGCUAUUGAAUGAGCCGAUGUCGGAUUAGCUAGUUGGCGGGGUAAAGGCCCACCAAGGCGACGAUCCGUAGCUGGUCUGAGAGGAUGAUCAGCCACACUGGAACUGAGACACGGUCCAGACUCCUACGGGAGGCAGCAGUGGGGAAUAUUGGACAAUGGGCGCAAGCCUGAUCCAGCCAUACCGCGUGGGUGAAGAAGGACUUCGGGUUGUAAAGACCUUUUGUUGGGAAAGAAAAGCAGCAGGUUAAUACCCCGCUGUUCUGACGGUACCCAAAGAAUAAGCACCGGCUAACUUCGUG
RNAcentral lists this ribosomal RNA (492 nucleotides) under uncultured bacterium. Its description in RNAcentral is "partial 16S ribosomal RNA". It matches the Rfam family "Bacterial small subunit ribosomal RNA", at positions 29 to 507 of the family's 1533-position model. The record is from RNAcentral.